Long non-coding RNA from Pezoporus flaviventris, 2045 nucleotides. RefSeq lists it as uncharacterized. The transcript is spliced from 2 exons. The record is from RefSeq and is a predicted model, not a curated record. Lineage: Eukaryota; Metazoa; Chordata; Aves; Psittaciformes; Psittacidae.
CUAUGCCACAGGUCCUGGAACACGGUGUCCAGGGAGUUGCCUGCACCAGGCACUUUUUCUUCAACACUAAUGGAUCCAAAAGUGAGAAGCUGUGAGGUUUACGUAGGAGACAGAGGACCAGUUCCGUUGAUCAUCUGUCAUUCAUUGAGGUGACAUUCUGCCAGUGAGCCUUACCUAUUGCUGGUAUAAAACACAAUUCAUCAGCCUUUCCUUUGCCUCCAAGAGAGAAAAACCCGUAGUAGAGCUAAAGUAGGGAAAAAAAGUAUUUUCAAGUAGAUGGUGGAUUUACUUUAAAUAUUCUUUCCCACAAAUGUCCUGUCAAAUUAAUUAACUUUUGAUUCCUCCCACUGUCUGAUAGCCAGCAACUGCCCUGUGUCCACUGCUGAUGGCAAAAGUAAACCUCUUUUGAGAGUUCCUUUCACUCCAAAAUCUGAGUAGCUGUUUGGGAAAGAACAUGGCGGGAUUUACAAAUCCUCUUGUGCUAGAUCCAAAAAUUGGCUCCCAAUAAGGGAGGCUAGUAGUUAUACUGAGCUUAAUGGGUCAUUUUCUAAGAGUAUUUGCAUGAGUAAGUGUUAAACUGAAUCCAAGGUUUAAAGGGCAAAGAUGUAUCUCUAAGAAAGAGUUUUAUCAGCAGUAGGAAGCCGGGAUCUAGCUUGAAUUUACUGUUUUCCAUAUUCUGUUUCAGAAUUUAUGGGGGAGAUUCCUCUUCUUUUUUAAGAAAAGGAAGUCCUAAGUAAUUCUUGAUAGGUUUAUUUUUUUGAGGCAUGGGGGAAGAUUAAGUCAGCAUCGAGUGUGAAAGGCUCUCUUUGAGAUAGCUAUAUUCUAUCUGCUUUUUUGAAAAGCUGCAUCUAAAACAUAACAGUUCAGAUGUUAGCGUUAAAUCUUUCCAUGCUGCUGAUUUCAGCAGAAAUGCAGAUUGUGAUAUAGUUAUUCAUCACGGAUGACUGGAUCCAUAGUUAAGUUGGGGCACACACAGCACUUGGCUGCCAGCACAAUGUAAGGCUUGGGAGCUGCUCUCAACAAGCAGCUCUGACAGUCCACAGAGCGAGAGUGACAAACAAGAUCCAGCUCCUCAUCAGGUGCCAGUAUCACCACUGAGCUUGCAGAAAACAAGUAAUAUAUAUACAUAUAUAGCCUAUACUUUUUGUGGGCACAUGAAGGCCACCUCUCAGUUUCUCUCUGUUCCCCUGAACUGCAGGGUUCAACUGAUGUAGAAACCACCUCCAGCACAGACACUAAGGGAAAGCUGGGGAAGGGAUCUUUUGGCUGGGUUUUCUUUCAGUUCAGCUUUGAAACUGGAAGUAUCUGCAGAAUUCAGCAUUUCAGAUGUCACAUCCCAUGAAAGCUCUCACAGCAUAAUUGAUAUGGCUUAAUUGUGUGCAGCAGUAAAUGACCUUUUAAAAGGCUUUUUUCUACCCCUAAUUUCCAUUUUCCAUGGUCAUUUACAACUAUACUUACGAUAUCUUAAUUCACAGCUACUAAUGAAGCUCCAAAAUAGUAGCUUUCAAGUUCUUUUGGCUGAAUGAUUUUUAAGAUAGAUAUUAAUUCACAGAGGCAAUUCAUAUAAUAAAUGAAUAUUAAUGUCAUGUGGUAUUCCAUUUAGCAUGCAGAAGAUUUCUUCUAAUAUUUUUUACCUGAAAGCAGCAAUAAUAAAGAAACAACUAACUUAGGUAUACUUCUUUUAGGCAUCUAAGAUUUUUCUAUAAACCAUAACGUUAAUUUGAUGAACAUUUGCAUUGGAGUGUAAAGCUUCUCCAAGACUUGUUCCGGAAAUAAGACACACAGGUAUUCCUAUAUAUUUAGCAGCGUUCAAAACUGUAUGGUUGUUUUAGGAAACACUUUCUUGCUGCUUUUCUUCUUUUUAAGCAGAGGAUUAUUGUUAGGAAUUUGGCCAUGUGCCAGCUAUAUGAGGUUAUGUGGCUUAAACCAGAUACUGCUUUUCAAAAUAGGCAUGUGUAGCAGGAAAUAAUCUGUGUGCUUCAACCCAUAUGUUUAAUUUGUACUGCAAAUUAAAACAUGCUUUAAACCUACAAGAUUCUACUUAA